RNAcentral lists this long non-coding RNA (200 nucleotides) under Nicotiana benthamiana. RNAcentral describes it as "long non-coding RNA (NBEN_LNC000124)". The record is from RNAcentral. Lineage: Eukaryota; Viridiplantae; Streptophyta; Magnoliopsida; Solanales; Solanaceae.
ACGGAAUAGCCAAGUGAUUGGCAUGAAGAAUCUUUGGGAUAGUAAAGUCCCACAUACAAGCUUACUAAUAAUAUACUUCAUUUCCGUUUUAACCGCAUUAGGACGACUCCUUUUGGACAUGAUUCAUAUAUAACAAACGCUAAAUAUUACAUCAAGUCUACUAGCAGUGAAGUAAAGUAGGGAACAAUCAUACCUCGGUA